GACAGACAAGGGGACAGCCCUUGGGGUGAGGAGGCAGGGACUCCACCCUGCUGAGUAUCUGCCUGCCCGUGCGUCUGGAAUCCAGGGGGAAGACCAGAGUCCCAGGCACUCAGCAUCCCCGACUGAACAAGGACGAGGACAGGGGCUCCGGUCACACACAGUGCUCCCCAGACACACACACCAUCACGACAGGAGCAAAGGAGGAGCGAAAAGGUCAGCCUUCCAGGACACCACAGCCUCCAGGGAUCAUCUCACUGAACACUUUGCUUCUUCCCUCAGGGGCUCAUCUCACUCCCAACAAGGCCUCGAGCACGGGCCGAGCCCCGCACAGCUCUGACCAUCGAGGCUGGCGGAGCACACGCAGGCCACGUCAGCUGGAGGAAAAACUUUCUUUCUCAGAACAUUCUAAAGGCAGCCUGUCAGAGGCUACAGCAGUAGAUCCAGCUUCCAAUUGUCUAUCUUGCUACUGUUUUGGCUGAGAAUCUCAGCCCGAACCCCGAGAUGCCCUCGUUCAGCAGCCAGCAGCCGAUUUCCACUGUUCAGUCCAUCUCCUCUCUAUGACACACUCAUGCACACAUACCUGCCUCCUCCAGUGCCAUCACCUUGAAAUCACAACCAAACAAGGCUUAUGUCUUUUAUGGCAGAAAACUACCAACUGGCAGAAGAUGCUGACUGUCUUCCUCAAGGUGGCUCAUGAGCCGCCAGUUAGAAGUUCUGGUUCUUUCUGCAAAUGACCCACCUCACUGAUCAGAAAGCGCAGCUCUGGCCCGAUGCGCUCCCUGCCCUGUUGUCCACUGGCGCUGAGGCUGAAGUCCUGGGACGGUUUGCAGGUCCCACUCACACCCGCCACCUCGGUGGGGAAAUGACGGCUCCUUCACGAUGCCCUCUGACAGCCCUGACUCCCCUGGGCCCAGCCCCGUGUGACUCUGACCCCCGUCCCACCAGCCCCCCAGGUGUAUCCAGGACAGCACCGUGAGCCUGCACCCACUGGCCUCCUGGCCCGACUCGCGCUGCUUCCCGCAGUCCACACGCACAGGACUGAGCCCUCACCGCCUGCUGGAUAACAAGCCUGGCCCACGGGGGCAAGGAACUGCCUGCGAGACAGGGAACUGUGGGACGACCUAAGUAGCCAACAGGAGGAAACAGACGUGUACAUGGGGACGUGCGGUUGGGGGGCAGUGGUGUAGAAAGGCUGUCAGACUCUCCUGCAGAAACAAGCAGGGUAGAAAGCCCAAAGAGAGGGCUGCCCGGGCAGGGUUAAGAUUCUGUGCUUCCGCUGCAGGCGGCAUGGUUCUAUCCCUGAUCAGGGAAGUUUGCAUGCUGGGUGGUAUGGCCAAAAAGAUAAAAAACUCAAUGGCAUAAGCAUAUCCAUAGAAAACACUGGGAAAUGACUAAAAUGUUACUAGGUUAUCUCUGGGCAGUAGGACUAUAGGCAACCUUUACUUUUGUCUCUUUGCCUGUAUCUGCCCAGGAAAACACAGAUUAUAAACUAAACAUAGUAAAAUCUUAUCACUUGA
Capra hircus (goat) is the source of this 1517-nucleotide long non-coding RNA. RefSeq lists it as uncharacterized. Lineage: Eukaryota; Metazoa; Chordata; Mammalia; Artiodactyla; Bovidae. The transcript is spliced from 2 exons. The record is from RefSeq and is a predicted model, not a curated record.